CUGAAGAGGCCCACGGUCCAGGAGGAGAGAGAGACCCAACGUGGAAGAAGAGGGCAGACGGGGGCUGCUCUGCCCCAGCUGAAGUGAAUCCCGAGGAACAGCGUGCCCGUGCCGGCUCAAAUAAGGGCUCGAGGUGCAGGUGUGCAUGAGACCGGCCGGGGGAUCCAUUGCCAGACGCCUUCUCGGCCUUGGCCACCCGACUCGGGAAGCCACAGGGUCAGUUCAGUUUGUAAAAGCGUUGGAUGAAGACUAAACGCCCUCCCAAAGGACCGUCCCCGCCAGUCUGAUUCUCCCCUAAGGCCCAGAGGGCUCAGGUGCAGGACACCAGGUGCCAGCCAACAAAUGCUGAAGCAGCUCAGCAGGUGUAUCGCAAGACCUCUCCUUUCCCUGGGUUGUAAAGACAGACAUAAGGACACUCUCAGCUCAUGUUCGGCUCUUCUUGAUCAUCAGGAAGUCGUCCUGCAGUGCUUGCAGCAUCCUUUAUCUCAAGAAACUUUCUUUCCAUCUCACCAUGCUCAAUAAAGUCUUCUUUUUUUUUCACCCUC
Sus scrofa (pig) is the source of this 545-nucleotide non-coding RNA. The record is from RefSeq and is a predicted model, not a curated record. Lineage: Eukaryota; Metazoa; Chordata; Mammalia; Artiodactyla; Suidae.